RNAcentral lists this ribosomal RNA (918 nucleotides) under uncultured archaeon. Its description in RNAcentral is "bacterial SSU rRNA". It matches the Rfam family "Archaeal small subunit ribosomal RNA", at positions 1 to 922 of the family's 1478-position model. The record is from RNAcentral.
UUCCGGUUGAUCCUGCCGGAGGUUACUGCUAUCGGGGUUCGAUUAAGCCAUGCAAGUUAAAUGUUUUUCGUAAACAUAGCGAACUGCUCAGUAACACGUGGAUAACUUAACCUUAGGUCCGGCAUAACCCCGGGAAACUGGGGAUAAUUCCGGAUGUAUCAAGGAUGCUGGAAUGCCCUUUGGUUCAAAGCUUUUGUGCCUAAGGAUAGGUCUGCGGUCUAUCAGGUUGUAGUGGGUGUAACGUACCUACUAGCCGACGACGGAUACGGGUUGUGAGAGCAAGAGCCCGGAGAUGGAUUCUGAGACAAGAAUCCAGGCCCUACGGGGUGCAGCAGGCGCGAACACUUUACAAUGCGGGAAACCGCGAUAAGGGAACCCCGAGUGCCAGUACUAAGUGCUGGCUGUCUAGAUGAAUAGAUAUCAUUUAAUAGCAAGGGCCGGGCAAGACCGGUGCCAGCCGCCGCGGUAACACCGGCGGCCCGAGUGGUAACCGAUAUUAUUGGGUCUAAAGGGUCCGUAGCCUGUUUAAUAAGUCCUUUGGGAAAUCUGGCAGCUUAACUGUCAGGCUGCUAAAGGAUACUGUUAAACUUGGGACCGGUAGACGUAGGGGGUACUCCAGGGGUAGGAGUGAAAUCUUGUAAUCCCUGGGGGACCAUCUGUGGCGAAGGCGCCCUACGAGAACGGGUCCGACGGUGAGGGACGAAAGCUAGGGGAGCAAACCGGAUUAGAUACCCGGGUAGUCCUAGCUGUAAACGAUGCUCGCUAGGUGUCAGGCACGGUGCGUCCGUGUCUGGUGCCGCAGGGAAGCCGUUAAGCGAGCCACCUGGGGAGUACGGUCGCGAGGCUGAAACUUAAAGGAAUUGGCGGGGGAGCACUACAACGGGUGGAGCCUGCGGUUUAAUUGGAUUCAACGCCGGA